UACAGAGGGUGCAAACGUUGUUCGGAAUUACUGGGCAUAAAGCGCACGUAGGCGGCCUGUUAAGUGUGGAGUGAAAUCCCACGGCUUACCCGUGGAACUGCUUCGCAUACUGGCAGGCUCGAGGACGGUAGAGGAGAGCGGAACUCUUGGUGGAGCGGUGAAAUGCGUAGAUAUCAAGAGGAACACCAAAGGCGAAGGCAGCUCUCUGGUCCGUUUCUGACGCUGAGGUGCGAAAGCCAGGGGAGCGAACGGG
Molecule: ribosomal RNA, 253 nt
Filed under: uncultured bacterium
Lineage: Bacteria
Description: partial 16S ribosomal RNA
Rfam family: Bacterial small subunit ribosomal RNA
Source: RNAcentral